RNAcentral lists this transfer RNA (77 nucleotides) under Humibacillus sp. DSM 29435. RNAcentral describes it as "tRNA-Ile". It matches the Rfam family "tRNA". Rfam says of the family: Transfer RNA (tRNA) molecules are approximately 80 nucleotides in length. Their secondary structure includes four short double-helical elements and three loops (D, anti-codon, and T loops). RNAcentral also lists the same sequence under 1 other name. The record is from RNAcentral. Lineage: Bacteria; Bacillati; Actinomycetota; Actinomycetes; Micrococcales; Intrasporangiaceae.
GGGCCUAUAGCUCAGACGGUUAGAGCGCGUCCCUGAUAAGGACGAGGUCGGAGGUUCAAGUCCUCCUAGGCCCACCA